CACGUAGUUAGCCGUGGCUUUCUGGUUAGGUACCGUCAAGGUACCAGCAGUUACUCUGGUACUUGUUCUUCCCUAACAACAGAACUUUACGACCCGAAAGCCUUCUUCGUUCACGCGGCGUUGCUCCGUCAGACUUUCGUCCAUUGCGGAAGAUUCCCUACUGCUGCCUCCCGUAGGAGUCUGGGCCGUGUCUCAGUCCCAGUGUGGCCGAUCACCCUCUCAGGUCGGCUACGCAUCGUCGCCUUGGUGGGCCAUUACCCCGAUCAACUAGCUAAUGCGCCGCGGGCCCAUCUGUAAGUGAUAGCCGAAACCAUCUUUCCAUCUUCUCUCAUGCAAGAGAAGAACGUAUCCGGUAUUAGCUCCGGUUUCCCGAAGUUAUCCCAGUCUUACAGGCAGGUUGCCCACGUGUUACUCACCCGUCCGCCGCUGACUUUUAAAACGCAAGCUUUUAAAACGUCCGCUCGACUUGCAUGUAUUAGGCACGCCGCCAGCGUCGUCCUCGUAGUCCACGGAUCGAACUACG
This 523-nucleotide ribosomal RNA is filed under the name uncultured Bacillaceae bacterium. RNAcentral describes it as "partial 16S ribosomal RNA". The record is from RNAcentral. Lineage: Bacteria; Bacillati; Bacillota; Bacilli; Caryophanales; Bacillaceae.